Girardinichthys multiradiatus is the source of this 382-nucleotide long non-coding RNA. RefSeq lists it as uncharacterized. The record is from RefSeq and is a predicted model, not a curated record. NCBI's taxonomy places the organism in Eukaryota, Metazoa, Chordata, Actinopteri, Cyprinodontiformes, Goodeidae. The transcript has 3 exons.
GUAACUUCUGUUGCCUAGCAACCGUGUUAGCAUGAAGCCGAACAAAUGGAGCCUGAAGCGGGAUUUUGAAAACAAUGUGCUGGGUGUCAGCUGUUCUCUCGGGGUUUGGCGCGCCUCAACCACCCGGACAUCUGGCGAGGAGAGCGGCUGCUGGGGCAGCGGACGAACACAUCGGCGCAUUUGGAAGGACGCAUUUGUUGAAACCUUGGAGAUUUGACAGCAUUCAUCGCCUCAUCCAGGACGUUAUCGGAUGCAGUCCUGAAUCUGGACACAGCAACAGUGAAUGACAUCCGUGAAUCAGUAAAUCUGUGUUUGAUUAAUCUGUGGCUUCAAGAACCCGGAUGUGUGACACAAAAAAAUUAAUUUUGGAAUUGAAAUUGAA